UACGGAGGGUGCAAGCGUUAUCCGGAUUUACUGGGUUUAAAGGGUGCGUAGGUGGGUCUGUAAGUCAGUGGUGAAAUCUCCGAGCUUAACUCGGAAACUGCCAUUGAUACUAUAGAUCUUGAAUUAUCUGGAGGUAAGCGGAAUAUGUCAUGUAGCGGUGAAAUGCUUAGAUAUGACAUAGAACACCAAUUGCGAAGGCAGCUUACUACGCAUAUAUUGACGCUGAGGCACGAAAGCGUGGGGAUCAAACAGG
Molecule: ribosomal RNA, 253 nt
Filed under: uncultured bacterium
Lineage: Bacteria
Description: partial 16S ribosomal RNA
Rfam family: Bacterial small subunit ribosomal RNA
Source: RNAcentral